UACGUAGGGGGCAAGCGUUGUCCGGAUUUAUUGGGCGUAAAGAGCGUGUAGGCGGCCAGGUAGGUCUGCUGUGAAAACUCGAGGCUUAACCUCGAGAUGUCGGCGGAAACCAUCUGGCUAGAGUCCGGAAGAGGAGAAUGGAAUUCCCGGUGAAGCGGUGAAAUGCGCAGAUAUCGGGAAGAACACCCGUGGCGAAGGCGGUUCUCUGGGACGGUACUGACGCUGAGACGCGAAAGCGUGGGGAGCGAACAGG
This 253-nucleotide ribosomal RNA is filed under the name uncultured bacterium. RNAcentral's name for it is "partial 16S ribosomal RNA". It matches the Rfam family "Bacterial small subunit ribosomal RNA", at positions 524 to 776 of the family's 1533-position model. The record is from RNAcentral.